CUGAUUGUGAGAAACCAGUAGAGUGAUAUAUUAAGUAAUGUAGGCAGUUUGUAAUAUUUGAGGUAACGACGUAAAGUAAAGCCGCUGAGUUGAGGAAUAAGAAUCCUUUAAGUGGUAUUAUUUAUCCUGAUAACGUGAUCAUAUGACCUUGAAAUGUGAAGCCCUGCGUCCCUGUUCAGUUCUGGGUUUGUUAAAAAUAUGAAGAAUGAUGGGGAUGUUGUAUUUUUGGCAUAUUGCCCACAGUUUGAUUCUCUAACAAGAUCUUCUUCGGCAUUAAUGGCCGGUAGUCCCGAAUAUAUGUCUAACAUGCUUGAUGAAGAAGAAAAUGGCGUUAAGAGAUUAAUCCAAUCGUUUGAAGACAUACUUAAAAAAAAAUCAAUUAAUGGUAGAGUGUUGCGACUGUCUGGAUCAAGCCCUGGUCAUGCUAUCAUAAAUGCUGCCAAGGAGCAUCAUGUUCAACUAAUUGUAACAGGUUGUAGGGGGGUGGGAAGGAUUAGACGUACCUUGCU
Patella vulgata (common limpet) is the source of this 509-nucleotide long non-coding RNA. RefSeq lists it as uncharacterized. NCBI's taxonomy places the organism in Eukaryota, Metazoa, Mollusca, Gastropoda, Patellidae. The record is from RefSeq and is a predicted model, not a curated record. The transcript is spliced from 4 exons.